RNAcentral lists this ribosomal RNA (858 nucleotides) under uncultured bacterium. Its description in RNAcentral is "bacterial SSU rRNA". It matches the Rfam family "Bacterial small subunit ribosomal RNA", at positions 60 to 914 of the family's 1533-position model. The record is from RNAcentral.
AGUCGAACGGCAGCGCGGGGCAACCUGGCGGCGAGUGGCGAACGGGUGAGUAAUAUAUCGGAACGUACCCAAGAGUGGGGGAUAACGUAGCGAAAGUUACGCUAAUACCGCAUACGAUCUAUGGAUGAAAGUGGGGGAUUCGCAAGAACCUCAUGCUCCUGGAGCGGCCGAUAUCUGAUUAGCUAGUUGGUGAGGUAAAGGCUCACCAAGGCGACGAUCAGUAGCUGGUCUGAGAGGACGACCAGCCACACUGGAACUGAGACACGGUCCAGACUCCUACGGGAGGCAGCAGUGGGGAAUUUUGGACAAUGGGCGCAAGCCUGAUCCAGCAAUGCCGCGUGAGUGAAGAAGGCCUUCGGGUUGUAAAGCUCUUUUGUCAGGGAAGAAACGGUCGAGGCUAAUACCUUUGGCUAAUGACGGUACCUGAAGAAUAAGCACCGGCUAACUACGUGCCAGCAGCCGCGGUAAUACGUAGGGUGCAAGCGUUAAUCGGAAUUACUGGGCGUAAAGCGUGCGCAGGCGGUUUUGUAAGUCUGUCGUGAAAUCCCCGGGCUCAACCUGGGAAUUGCGAUGGAGACUGCAAGGCUAGAAUCUGGCAGAGGGGGGUAGAAUUCCACGUGUAGCAGUGAAAUGCGUAGAGAUGUGGAGGAACACCGAUGGCGAAGGCAGCCCCCUGGGUCAAGAUUGACGCUCAUGCACGAAAGCGUGGGGAGCAAACAGGAUUAGAUACCCUGGUAGUCCACGCCCUAAACGAUGUCUACUAGUUGUCGGGUCUUAAUUGACUUGGUAACGCAGCUAACGCGUGAAGUAGACCGCCUGGGGAGUACGGUCGCAAGAUUAAAACUCAAAGGAAUUGAC